AGGUCGGGGGAUUGUGAUCACGAUGGCAAGAGACACCAACAUGGCUGUCCAUACCAGCCCAGACAGACGUGGAUCCAACUCUGAAAUUCCUGGAGUCGCCGCAG
Long non-coding RNA from Haliotis rubra (blacklip abalone), 104 nucleotides. RefSeq lists it as uncharacterized. Lineage: Eukaryota; Metazoa; Mollusca; Gastropoda; Lepetellida; Haliotidae. The record is from RefSeq and is a predicted model, not a curated record. The transcript is spliced from 3 exons.